This 512-nucleotide ribosomal RNA is filed under the name uncultured bacterium. RNAcentral describes it as "partial 16S ribosomal RNA". It matches the Rfam family "Bacterial small subunit ribosomal RNA", at positions 28 to 523 of the family's 1533-position model. The record is from RNAcentral.
GACGAACGCUGGCGGCGUGCCUAAUACAUGCAAGUCGGGCGGAACUGGGGGAGCUUGCUCCUUCCAGUUUAGCGGCGGACGGGUGAGUAACACGUGGGCAACCUGCCCUGCAGAUCGGGAUAACUCCGGGAAACCGGUGCUAAUACCGAAUAGUUUGGCGCCUCUCCUGAGGCGCUACGGAAAGACGGUUUCGGCUGUCACUGCAGGAUGGGCCCGCGGCGCAUUAGCUAGUUGGUGGGGUAACGGCCCACCAAGGCGACGAUGCGUAGCCGACCUGAGAGGGUGACCAGCCACACUGGGACUGAGACACGGCCCAGACUCCUACGGGAGGCAGCAGUAGGGAAUCUUCCGAAAUGGACGCAAGUCUGACGGAGCAACGCCGCGUGAGUGACGAAGGUUUUCGGAUCGUAAAACUCUGUUGUGAGGGAAGAACACGUACCAACUAACUAUUGGUACCUUGACGGUACCUCACCAGAAAGCCACGGCUAACUACGUGCCAGCCGCCGCCGUAA